UAUUCAUUCUCCAUCGUAGAGUUCAUAUCUCAAGCCGCAGAGCCCCGGUAAAAUAUUACCGUUCUUUAAUUUCUAUUAUAUUGGAAAUUUUUCUAACAAUCCCAUUGCAGUUUUCCGGUUAGGUUGUAGGGUUUAAGCUGAAUUAAAUCAGUGAACUCAUGGCUUUGCGUUUUUGAUUCAGUUGAAUUAUUAUGUUUUCCUCCGUGCUUCUUUGAUGUUUGUUUUUCCUACGAUGCAGGAGGAUUAUCAGUAAAGAUGUAUCUCCAAUUUUACAUUAAUGAAAAUGGGGAUAAAGUUUACACUACUAAGGUUUGCCUCUUCGUUUUCUCGAUUCAUGCAGCUUUUAUGUAAAUAUGUAAUUUUCCAUGCUAUUAUCGCAGUGUUUCAGGUUAUAGGCAUGGUUUACAUGAUCAAUAAUUAAUUCCCACUCUAGGUAAUGCUGUGAUGGUAAAUUAAAAUUCACUACCUGUUAAAGUGCAUUUUGUACAUUUAUUUUAAGUAAUUUUUCCUUGCUUGUAAUUCCCAACAAAGAGUGAUAUCAUGAUUUCCCGAAUUUGAUGAUAGAUGGUCGCAGAUACUAGUUUCAGUAAGUAGUGAGUUUGAGAGUUGGCUCGAUGUUAAUCAACAUUCAUAGUUGUACUUACUGAAUUGCAAUUUAAUGCAUAAUGUGGGGCGAGUACUUAUUUGAAAGGAUUUCUCUGAACUUUUUGACAAAAUUUACCAUCUUGUUUUCUCCACUAAAAAGAAAAGACUUCAUAUAUUUCGAUUUUUUACUAUUGCUCUUCUUCAUGCAGAAGGAAUCACCAUUGGGGUUGGCCACAGAAUCUGCUCAUCCUGGUAUGUUUUCUGAAUCAUUAUGAAUCUAUAUCUUAGAUGUAAUGUACCCUAACAGACUGGCCCUUUUAAAAUAAAUACGUGCAUCGAAUUGCAUGUUUUAGUGUGUUAUGGUAAUAAAAUCAAUAUUUUGCACACUUGACAGUGACAGAGUGGUCGAGUAAUUUGCUUCUGACUAAUUGAUACAUAAUGGAAUAUGAUUCAGAAUUUGAGAAUCUGCCUGUCUAUCACCUGUGCAAUUAAAUCUUCAAUUUGAGUAUAAUGAAGGAUAAGAAAUUUCUCUGAAUAGCUAAGAACUUUUGUUCCUCACUAUUCGAUUGAAACUUUUCCUACUGAUGUCAAUGUAUUUGUGCACUCUUAUGCCAUGUUACAGCAUGAGGGAUGCAUCUGUGGAUAGAGUAUAUUUCCUAACCAAGUCUUUGUGAAAUUUUUGUCUUCUAAGGAAACUUUAAGUUGAUAAAGUAGUACAAAUCAUAUUAAACAAACAUGCACGCUGGAAAAUACGAACUCUUACUCCCUAUUUUUUGUCUUCACACAUGAUUUUUCGUCUUUACAAAUAACAAAAGAGCAAUAGUAAUAAAACCGAGAAAAACUUGCUUAGGCGUUGUGAUAAUGGGAAAUGAUGCUCUUCUUGUUUUCUGAGUUACUGCUUUGUUAAACUAGUAAUCAUGGUCUACAAAGAUUAUUCACCACAUCCUUCUAAUGUCUCUCUUUCCCAAUUGCAGCUCGCUUCUCACCUGAUGACAAAUACUCGAGGCAAAGAGUGCUCCUGAAGAAGCGCUUUGGUUUACUUCCUACCCAACAUCCACCUCCCAAGUACUGAGUACCCAAUGUACUCACGUAGGCCUUUUGUAUCGAGAGGAGAAAUGUAGCAUUCCUUUUCAUUUACCCAAGAGUUACCAAAUUAAUCGUUUUACUAUUGGCCUGUAAUUUGUGUUUGCACUCCUUUUGCAAUUUCUAUUGAUAUUAAAUGUUAUGGUGGCUAAUGCUAGAUUCCUUCACCCUUUACUUUUAUCCCAAAAAUAUUUCAUUUUUAUUAAAAUGUUAUGGUGGUUAGUCCUACAGGUUUCACUCUUGGGACGAAAUGCAACCAUGAGCUAGCAAUUACCUAUGAAAACCACUGAAAGCUUAUAAAUGAUUCAUUUUGGAUAGUUUGCAACAAUUUCUAUGUUGGGUUUUUUUUUAUCACUCUCGUCGUGUCAUUUAGAUUGUCACAGGGACUGUACUACCAUUCAAAUCAUCAAUUUAUCACUUUCGUUUUGUGUUGCUUGAGAUUGUCACAAGGACUGUAAUACCAUUAAAAUCAUCAAUUAGCGUUGCAAGCGGUAAUGUAAUGAAUUUACUGCUUGUAAAAAUAAGUCUCCAAGUUAGUGGUUUUUCAUCAGAAGAAAUUUUUAAUACUUCUUUUUUAGAUAUGUUCUCUCGUAUCUUAUGCUUUUGUCUUUCAUGAUAAACAGAAUUCUUACGAAGUGUCAAUACUCUGUGAUUAUCAGUAAACCAUG
This 2336-nucleotide long non-coding RNA is filed under the name Olea europaea subsp. europaea. The record is from RNAcentral. Lineage: Eukaryota; Viridiplantae; Streptophyta; Magnoliopsida; Lamiales; Oleaceae.